This is an RNA transcript of Heterocephalus glaber (naked mole-rat), 451 nucleotides long. It is a transcript of the gene named protein disulfide-isomerase TMX3 pseudogene, with no coding region annotated. NCBI's taxonomy places the organism in Eukaryota, Metazoa, Chordata, Mammalia, Rodentia, Bathyergidae. The record is from RefSeq and is a predicted model, not a curated record.
GGGGCGGGCUUUACGGAAUUAGGGAGACCACGGAAGACUGCAGAGUUUGGGAGCAGGGACUGUCUGGCUUGAACUGGCCAGUGGAGGAAUGUGAAUUCGGGGCGCGGGGCCCUUGGAAAUCGCGCUUGACAAAUGGAGGGUUUAGCUAUGCAGUCCAGGCUGGCCUUGAACUCAUGGUGAUCCUCCUGCCUCAGCCUCCAGAGUGCUGGUAAUACAGAUGGGAACCUGGAUGAUGAAUUCCCUUACUUACUCCUUUGGAGUGUAUUCUUAAACAAUAGAAUUUGGUGAACCCCCAGACUCUAAGAAAGCACCAUGUAGCCCUGGAGGCAUCACAGAAAAAUUUUUUUGAAAUGUGCAUUAUGGCAGGUAUAUAAUGCUCAUGUUUAUAUUUUGAAAGUAUUUCUAUUGAUGAAUUAUUAAUUUUAAUUUUAAUAGUUUUAUUAUAUCAAAC